ACACCUCAACUCUCAUGGUCUUCCAUGAUGAGCUUGGACUUUGGGGGUUUGCUGGCCCUGCGGCCGGCUCCUCUCAAAUGAAUUAGCUUGCCAGUGUUUGGUGGCAUCACGAGUGUGAUAACUAUCUACGCUCGCGGUCGUCCGCCAGGUAACCCUCAGCGAUGAAGGUUCAUUGGGGCUUAUAAACGUCUCUCCUCGGCGAGGACAGCUUUUGAAC
This 217-nucleotide unclassified non-coding RNA is filed under the name Tomentella ellisii. RNAcentral's name for it is "partial internal transcribed spacer 2". RNAcentral also lists the same sequence under 1 other name. Lineage: Eukaryota; Fungi; Basidiomycota; Agaricomycetes; Thelephorales; Thelephoraceae. The record is from RNAcentral.